CGACGCCGCGUGGGGGAUGAAGGCCUUCGGGUUGUAAACCCCUUUCAGGAGGGACGAAGCGAAAGUGACGGUACCUCCACAAGAAGCCCCGGCUAACUCCGUGCCAGCAGCCGCGGUAAUACGGAGGGUGCGAGCGUUAAUCGGAAUUACUGGGCGUAAAGCGCGCGUAGGCGGCUAGGUCAGUCGAAUGUGAAAGCCCCGGGCUUAACCUGGGAAUUGCACUCGAUACUGCCUGGCUAGAGUAUGGGAGAGGGAAGUGGAAUUUCCGGUGUAGCGGUGAAAUGCGUAGAUAUCGGAAGGAACACCAGUGGCGAAGGCGACUUCCUGGCCCAAUACUGACGCUGAGGUGCGAAAGCGUGGGUAGCGAACAGGAUUAGAUACCCUGGUAGUCCACGCCGUAAACGAUGAGAACUAGAUGUUGGGAGGGUUUGCCUCUCGGUGUCGCAGCUAACGCGAUAAGUUCUCCGCCUGGGGAGUACGGCCGCAAGGUUAAAACUCAAAUGAAUUGACGGGGGCCCGCACAAGCGGUGGAGCAUGUUGUUUAAUUCGAUGCAACGCGAAGAACCUUACCACCCCUUGACAUCCACGGAACUUGGUAGAGAUACCUUGGUGCCUUCGGGAACCGUGUGACAGGUGCUGCAUGGCUGUCGUCAGCUCGUGUCGUGAGAUGUUGGGUUAAGUCCCGUAACGAGCGCAACCCUUGUCCUUAUUUGCCAGCGG
This 720-nucleotide ribosomal RNA is filed under the name uncultured bacterium. Its description in RNAcentral is "bacterial SSU rRNA". It matches the Rfam family "Bacterial small subunit ribosomal RNA", at positions 392 to 1124 of the family's 1533-position model. The record is from RNAcentral.